AUUGAACGCUGGCGGCAUGCCUUACACAUGCAAGUCGAACGGCAGCACGGGAGCAAUCCUGGUGGCGAGUGGCGAACGGGUGAGUAAUAUAUCGGAACGUGCCCAGUCGUGGGGGAUAACGUAGCGAAAGCUACGCUAAUACCGCAUACGAUCUAUGGAUGAAAGCGGGGGAUCGCAAGACCUCGCGCGAUUGGAGCGGCCGAUAUCAGAUUAGGUAGUUGGUGAGGUAAAGGCUCACCAAGCCGACGAUCUGUAGCUGGUCUGAGAGGACGACCAGCCACACUGGGACUGAGACACGGCCCAGACUCCUACGGGAGGCAGCAGUGGGGAAUUUUGGACAAUGGGCGAAAGCCUGAUCCAGCAAUGCCGCGUGAGUGAUGAAGGCC
This 386-nucleotide ribosomal RNA is filed under the name uncultured bacterium. RNAcentral's name for it is "bacterial SSU rRNA". It matches the Rfam family "Bacterial small subunit ribosomal RNA", at positions 30 to 416 of the family's 1533-position model. The record is from RNAcentral.